CAUUAACCUUUCAAAUCAGGGUGCGGCGCGGCCCCCGAGGAGCGGAAACAAUCCUUGGGAGGUAUGCGGGGGCUUCGAGCCCCCCAUUUACGCACGCACGACUGCCAUCCUUACUUUACGAGCACCUUCUGUUCUCCCUCGGCGGGGCAACCUGCCGUUGGAACCGAAUAAACUCUUUUUGCAUCUAGCAUUACCUGUUCCGAAACAAACAAUCGUUACAACUUUCAACAAUGGAUCUCUUGGCUCUGGCAUCGAUGAAGAACGCAGCGAAAUGCGAUAAGUAGUGUGAAUUGCAGAAUUCAGUGAAUCAUCGAAUCUUUGAACGCACAUUGCGCCCCUCGGUAUUCCGUGGGGCAUGCCUGUUCGAGCGUCAUCUACACCCUCAAGCUCUGCUUGGUGUUGGGCGUCUGUCCCGCCUCCGCGCGUGGACUCGCCCCAAAUUCAUUGGCAGCGGUCCUUGCCUCCUCUCGCGCAGCACAUUGCGCUUCUCGAGGGGCUACGGCUCGCGUCCAACAAGCACAUUUACCGUCUUUGACCUCGGAUCAGGUAGGGAUACCCGCUGAACUUAA
This 569-nucleotide ribosomal RNA is filed under the name uncultured Ascomycota. Its description in RNAcentral is "eukaryotic LSU rRNA". The stretch from base 220 to 373 matches the Rfam family "5.8S ribosomal RNA". The record is from RNAcentral. Lineage: Eukaryota; Fungi; Ascomycota.